UAACUGAGCAUGCGCUCUUCCCCAGGGACACUAGCUGUGAGGGAGAAAAAGCGAGGAAGCUUCUGCUUCCAUGGCCCACAGUCCCAGGAACAUGGUCUACAACUGUGCUGUGUUGCUGACUGUACCUGUGGAGGCAGAAGAGGCAAUCAGAUCUCCUGGAGCUGGAGUUACAGGUGUUGUGAGCAGCCCCACAUGGGUGCUAGGAACCGAACGUGGGUCCUCUGCAAGAGCAGUGAGAGCUUUGAUCAAGCACCGAGCCUGUCCCCACCCAGGAAAUGUGUCUUAACUCUGGGAAGAGUCUCACUUGUGCUGGAAUUUGAUCCUGAAUUUCAAACAUCUUUUACAAAAAGUGAAAACUGUAAGCAGAAGACGUAAUCAGUGUAAUUUGCAUAUUAAUUUUUUUUUUGUCUGUGAAGUUUGUAAAAACCACUGUGUGUGCUCACCCCUGCCUCCAACCUCCUCAGGUAUGUGCUCACCCCUGCCUCCACCCUCCUCAGGUAUGUGCUCACCCCUGCCUCUACCCUCCUCAGGUAUGUGCUCACCCCUGCCUCUACCCUCCUCAGGUAUGUGCUCACCCCUGCCUCCACCCUCCUCAGGUAUGAGCUCACCUCUGCCUCCACCCUCCCCAGGUAUGUGCUCACCCCUGCCUCCACCCUCCCCAGGUAUGUGCUCACCCCUGCCUCAAUCCUCCUCAGGUUUGUGCUCACCCCUGCCUCCACCCUCCUCAGGUAUGUGCUCACCCCUGCCUCCACCCUCCCCAGGUAUGUGCUCACCCCUGCCUCCACCCUCCUCAGGUAUUUCUGUCUGUUUACUUCUUAUUUCCUCUUUGUCUUCAUUUCUUAACUUUCCCAAGUCUGUUUACUUGAGUGAUAGCUCUAACCAUUUCUCACAGUCCGAGCCUCCUCUAGACUGGAUGAUUCACCAGUUGGAAACUAGCUCAGGCUCCCAGGAUAAUUGUGGAAUGUUAGUUCACUGCGCAGAGUGCAAGUUCAGCACGAAAGGGUGUGAGACAUGAACUCCAGAAGAAGGCAAAAGUUAAAAGAAGUCAAGUUCAGUUACAGGAAGGAGUCUCCACCCCAAGCUGGUAUACAUGAAAGAAAAAAAAAAAGCCCUAAACUAACCAUUUUACAUUCCAAGCUUUCUGAGAUGUUAUGAUUUGCCUCUAAGUUAACAAAUAAAACCAAUUAACCUGUGUUAUCUGCUCAAGAGUCAAUACAGAAACACGAUCUAUUUAAAAAGCACAUUGUGGUGAUGAUAAAUUAAAACCCAAACAUUCCUGGAGCCAGGAAACUAAUCUUAGAAGCUUCUAAGUUAUAGUCUACAUUAGGGGAUUCUUGAUUUUAAUUUUUUGGGAGGAAAUCGAGUAAUUAUACUACUGAGAACACUGUGUUUUGACCACUUCAGUACUUAGAAUUCAUUUCUUAAGAAAAAAAUCAUAAGCUUUAGGGUACUAUGGGGUCUCUAAAGAUAAACACUUAUGUCAUGCUGCCUAAUGUGGAGGCCUAGGUCAGAAGGUUGCUAUAGUAAAGAGUACCUGAUUACAGUGGUUUGAAUAACCUCAAAUACACAACAAUCAUUUAAAACACAAGUUUCAUUUAAGAUCUUAUGGCUGGCCAACUUGUAUGCCAAGACAUGAUAAUUUCAGGAUUUUGUAAACAGAGAAAUAGUUAUUAAGUGUUAAUGAGUCUAAAACCCCAAGUUUCAGGGAGUUAGGAGUUACUUGCUCAAGGUUUCAUGGUUUAAAAAGUCACAGAACAAUGUAAAAAUUAUUUUAAUUCUUCUUUUAAAUGUGUAUGUCUUAAAAGUGUUGUUACUUCAGUGACCCAAACAGAACAAUCUCACACACACACACACACACACACACACACACACACACCCCAAAAAUGAAAAACCAGAAAACAAAACAACAAUAAUAAUAGCAACAACAACAAUAACAACCCAAACCCAUCUGUUUUGCUGUGGGAUGUCUUUCUGUAUACUGUGAAUAUGUGUUGCUCUCAUUGGUUGAUAAAUAAAGCUGUUUGGCCAAUGG
Long non-coding RNA from Peromyscus californicus insignis, 2032 nucleotides. RefSeq lists it as uncharacterized. The record is from RefSeq and is a predicted model, not a curated record. The transcript has 2 exons. NCBI's taxonomy places the organism in Eukaryota, Metazoa, Chordata, Mammalia, Rodentia, Cricetidae.